UAUCAGUACAAACCUUCAUAAGGUGAAACCGCGAACGGCUCAUUAUAACAGCUAUAAUUUACUAGACCUUGAGCAACUACUUGGAUACCUGUGGUAAUUCUAGAGCUAAUACAUGCACCGAAGUUGUUCCUUGCGGAGCAAUGCAUUUAUUUGAGCAAAACCAGGCGGCUUCGGCCGUUUCUGUUGAUUCAGAAUAACUAAGCUGAUCGUAUGGGCUUGUCCCGACGACGUGUCUUUCAAGUGUCUGCCUUAUCAACUUUCGAUGGUAGUGUACGUGACUACCAUGGUGUUGACGGGUAACGGAGGAUAAGGGUUCGACUCCGGAGAAGGGGCCUGAGAAAUGGCCACUACGUCUAAGGAUGGCAGCAGGCGCGCAAAUUACCCACUCUCGGUUCGAGGAGGUAGUGACGAAAAAUAACAAGGCCGUUCUCUUUGAGGCCGGCCAUUGGAAUGGGUACAACUUAAACCCUUUAACGAGUAUCAAUGAGAGGGCAAGUCUGGUGCCAGCAGCCGCGGUAAUUCCAGCUCUCAAAAUGCAUAGAACCAUUGCUGCGGUUAAAAAGCUCGUAGUUGGAUCUGUGCCGGCGACGUGGUCCGCCCUAACCGGCGGUACUGCGCUCGUCGGCUUUGGGCCGGUCUUCGGUCGGUCGCCUUAACUGGUGGCCGCUCGUGGCUGGCUGGUUUACUUUGAGCAAAUCAGAGUGCUCAGCACAGGCGUCUCGCCGGAAUGUUCGUGCAUGGAAUAAUAGAAAAGGAUUUCGGUCCUCUUUUAUUGGUUUUGUGGACUGAGAUAAUGGUUAACAGAGACGGACGGGGGCAUUCGUAUUGCUGCGUGAGAGGUGAAAUUCUUGGACCGCAGCAGGACGGACUACAGCG
This 876-nucleotide ribosomal RNA is filed under the name Paratylenchus holdemani. RNAcentral's name for it is "SSU rRNA". It matches the Rfam family "Eukaryotic small subunit ribosomal RNA", at positions 58 to 947 of the family's 1831-position model. Lineage: Eukaryota; Metazoa; Nematoda; Chromadorea; Rhabditida; Tylenchulidae. The record is from RNAcentral.